This 214-nucleotide long non-coding RNA is filed under the name Capsicum annuum. RNAcentral's name for it is "long non-coding RNA (CANN_LNC005957)". The record is from RNAcentral. Lineage: Eukaryota; Viridiplantae; Streptophyta; Magnoliopsida; Solanales; Solanaceae.
UUACUUGAAAAUGGUUAAGUAUAGUGACUUGAAAUGUGAAUUAAUUAUUUGAAAAUGGUUCAGUGUAGUGAUUUGAAAUGUGUACUAGUGACUUGAAAAUGCUUAAGUGUAGUGCUUUGCAAUGUGAAUUAGUUAUUUGAAAAUGGUUAAGUGUAGUGACUUGAAAUGUGUGCUAGUGAGUUGAAAAUGGUUAAGUGUAGUUACUUAAAAAUUG